RNAcentral lists this long non-coding RNA (594 nucleotides) under Oryza sativa Indica Group (long-grained rice). RNAcentral describes it as "lncRNA OsMH63_02G035220". Lineage: Eukaryota; Viridiplantae; Streptophyta; Magnoliopsida; Poales; Poaceae. The record is from RNAcentral.
GUUGCGGGGGAUUCUUGGUGGAAGAGCCCUAGGUUCUUGGUUCUGUUUCUUGCCCUAGAUCUUGGCGGAAGGAUCGAUGUGUUGCAUAGCCAUGGAUCUGUCAACCAGCUUCCCUUUCAGUUUGUCUUCUUCUCGAAUGAACCAGGAAAUUAUGCUGAAAAAAAAAACAUGUCACUAUCCUUUGAUAACCAGUUUUUGUCAGUUCUUGAUGGCAUUUCUGUUCAUUAUUCAGAUUUUGAUAACCACAUGUCCUCAUGGAUUAGCUGCUUUUUAGCUUGGAUACUUAAUUUUAGCCAGCACUGGCUGCCUCAACAAACUACUAUGCUAAUUAUAAACCUUUUCUAUUUCCAUCUUUCUGUUUAUGAUUCAUUAAAUCUUAGCCAUUUUCCAUCAGAUGCUUUGGAAGCUUCAGGCGUUUUCAACAGACAUGAAGGCCUGGCAUUACUGACAACUAUUGUUGAGGGUGGUGGAAACUGCAAUCCUGCUAGUGAUCCAUUAACAAACCAGCCCCUGUUAUCAGCAAACAUCAUUAACAAGCAUAUUUUUCUGCUUUAUUUGGAGAAGAAAGCUUUGCGCAUCGAUGCUGAAAUAUAA